GACGAACGCUGGCGGCGUGCUUAACACAUGCAAGUCGAACGGAAAGGCCUGCUUUCCCUUGUGGAUUGCGGGUACUCGAGUGGCGAACGGGUGAGUAACACGUGAGUGAUCUGCCCCCAACUUGGGUAUAAGCCUGGGAAACUGGGUCUAAUUCCCGAUAGGACUGCAGGGUGGUGCCUGUGGUGGAAAACGAUGUUCUAGUGGUUGGGGAUGAGCUCGCGGCCUAUCAGCUUGUUGGGGGGGUGAUGGCCUACCAAGGCGGCGACGGGAAGCCGGCCUGAGAGGGUGGACGGCCACAUUGGGACUGAGAUACGGCCCAGACUCCUACGGGAGGCAGCAGUGGGGAAUAUUGCACAAUGGGCGGAAGCCUGAUGCAGCGACGCCGCGUGGGGGAUGACGGCCUUCGGGUUGUAAACUCCUUUCGACCGCGAGGAAGCCACCUGGUUGGAAGGGUGGUGACGGUAGUGGUAGAAGAAGCACCGGCUAACUACGUG
This 494-nucleotide ribosomal RNA is filed under the name uncultured bacterium. RNAcentral's name for it is "partial 16S ribosomal RNA". It matches the Rfam family "Bacterial small subunit ribosomal RNA", at positions 28 to 507 of the family's 1533-position model. The record is from RNAcentral.